AUGGAGCAGUUCCACCACGGCCACCACGUGCGGCUGCGGAGCCGCGAGCUCGGCACGUACCUGCACGCCGACGGGGACGGGCAAGGCGUCUCCCUCCACCACCGCCGGGCGUCGAUGAACGCGGCUUGGGCGGUGCACUUGUACCAGCCCCCCCACGCGCGGGUGCCGUUCCUGCUCCUCCACAGCGCCGCCUACGGCCGGUACCUCGCCGCCACGGCCGCGCCGGCGCCGCUAGGCCACCGUGGGCACCGCGUGGAGCAGCGCAGCUACAACCAUCCUGAGGAGGAGGCAAUGUUUUGGCUGGCCGUACGGACGGAAUUCGGGGACGACGUCCUGCUCCAACACUUCAACGGCGGCAGCCUCCGCGCCAACGGGAAGUACCUCCCCUGGAACAACGGCGCCAGCGUCGGCUACAUCAACGGCAUCCACGACAUGAGCACGAUGAUGCACUGGGUCGUGGAGCCCAUCCUCGCCAGGGAGACCAUGCCUCCCCUUCCACGUUCGACUGGGCUUACCCUCCCCACCGCCACCAUGUUGCUAUCGCGGGAGAUCGUGUACAUUUGGCGGGACAUCCACGGGGACCCCAUCACCGCCGGCUGGCACAUGUUCAGGGGGAGAUCCGUCUUCCGCCUGAGGGAGGAGCUGGCCAGGCUGCUGAAUGCCGUCCAAGUCUUGGGCGUCGCCGACCUCGUCAUGUGCCUCCCCACACGUGAUGGCCGGCUUUUCCCACUCCUCGUCGACCUGCCCAGCAACCGCGAGAGCUUCCACAUCGUCGUCGUCGUCGCCGGGACGCCU
RNAcentral lists this ribosomal RNA (795 nucleotides) under Triticum aestivum (bread wheat). RNAcentral describes it as "partial small subunit ribosomal RNA". The record is from RNAcentral. Lineage: Eukaryota; Viridiplantae; Streptophyta; Magnoliopsida; Poales; Poaceae.